Molecule: ribosomal RNA, 253 nt
Filed under: Salmonella enterica subsp. enterica serovar Kentucky
Lineage: Bacteria; Pseudomonadati; Pseudomonadota; Gammaproteobacteria; Enterobacterales; Enterobacteriaceae
Description: partial 16S ribosomal RNA
Rfam family: Bacterial small subunit ribosomal RNA
Source: RNAcentral
UUUAAAAGUGUUAACUACCGCAGAGAAAAUAAAUCCAGAUGGUUUUCCCCGUCAGACUCCCCCUUUCUUUUUUUAACAAUUUAUUCAUUUUUAAGCUUGCAACGCAGGUCACAUUUAACGCGGUUGCGCAGAAGAAGCACCGGCUAACUCCGUGCCAGCAGCCGCGGUAAUACGGAGGGUGCAAGCGUUAAUCGGAAUUACUGGGCGUAAAGCGCACGCAGGCGGUCUGUCAAGUCGGAUGUGAAAUCCCCGG